RNAcentral lists this ribosomal RNA (468 nucleotides) under uncultured bacterium. RNAcentral's name for it is "partial 16S ribosomal RNA". It matches the Rfam family "Bacterial small subunit ribosomal RNA", at positions 28 to 507 of the family's 1533-position model. The record is from RNAcentral.
GACGAACGCUGGCGGCGUGCUUAACACAUGCAAGUCGAACGGAAAGGCCCUGCUUUUGUGGGGUGCUCGAGUGGCGAACGGGUGUGUAACACGUGAGUAACCUGCCCUUGACUUUGGGAUAACUUCAGGAAACUGGGGCUAAUACCGGAUAUGAGCUCCUGCUGCAUGGUGGGGGUUGGAAAGUUUCGGCGGUUGGGGCUGUACUCGCGGCUUAUCAGCUUGUUGGUGGGGUAGUGGCUUACCAAGGCUUUGAAGGGUAGCCGGCCUGGGAGGUGGACCGGCCACAUUGCGACUGAGAGACGGCCCAGACUCCUACGGGAGGCAGCAGUGGAGAAUAUUGCACAAUGGGCGGAAGCCUGAUGUAGCAACGCCGCGUUCGGAAUGACGGCUUUCGGGUUGUAAACCGCUGUGGCCUUUGACGAAGCGGGAGUGACGGUAAUGAGUAAAGAAGCACCGGCUAACUACGUG